CCUACGGGAGGCAGCAGUGAGGAAUAUUGGUCAAUGGACGCAAGUCUGAACCAGCUAUGCCGCGUGCAGGAAGACGGCUCUCUGAGUUGUAACCUGCUUUUGUACGAGGGUAAAUCCCGAUACGUGUAUCGGGUUGAAAGUAUCGUACGAAUAAGGAUAGGCUAACUCCGUGACAGCAGCGGCGGUAAUACGGAGGAUUCAAUCGUUAUCCGGAUUUAUUGGGUUUAAAGGGUGCGUAGGCCGUUCGAUAAGUUAGAGGUGAAAUCCCGGGGCUCAACUCCGGCACUGCCUCUGAUACUGUCGGACUAGAGUUUAGUUGCGGUAGGCGGAAUGUAAGGUGUAGCAGUGAAAUGCAUAGAGAUCAUACAGAACACCGAUUGCGAAGGCAGCUUACCAAAAUACGACUGACGUUGAGGCACGAAAGCGUGGGGAGCAAACAGGAUUAGAUACCCGAGUAGUC
This 460-nucleotide ribosomal RNA is filed under the name uncultured bacterium. Its description in RNAcentral is "partial 16S ribosomal RNA". It matches the Rfam family "Bacterial small subunit ribosomal RNA", at positions 338 to 795 of the family's 1533-position model. The record is from RNAcentral.